This 1161-nucleotide ribosomal RNA is filed under the name Vibrio sp. CSMCRI-1107. RNAcentral's name for it is "bacterial SSU rRNA". It matches the Rfam family "Bacterial small subunit ribosomal RNA", at positions 322 to 1474 of the family's 1533-position model. Lineage: Bacteria; Pseudomonadati; Pseudomonadota; Gammaproteobacteria; Vibrionales; Vibrionaceae. The record is from RNAcentral.
GACCUCGGUCCCGACUCCUCGGGAGGCACGCAGUGGGGGAAUUUGCACAAUGGGCGCAAGCCUGAUGCAGGCAUGCCGCGUGUGUGAAGAGGGCCUUCGGGUUGUAAAGCAUCCUUCAGUCGUGAGGGAAGGUAGUGUAGUUAAUAGCUGCAUUGUUUGGACGUUAGCGACAGAAGAAGCACUGGCUAACUCCGUGCCAGCAGCCGCGGUAAUACGGAGGGUGCGAGCGUUAAUCGGAAUUACUGGGCGUAAAGCGCAUGCAGGUGGUUAGUUAAGUCAGAUGUGAAAGCCCGGGGCUCAACCUCGGAACUGCAUUUGAAACUGGCUGACUAGAGUACUGUAGAGGGGGGUAGAAUUUCAGGUGUAGCGGUGAAAUGCGUAGAGAUCUGAAGGAAUACCGGUGGCGAAGGCGGCCCCCUGGACAGAUACUGACACUCAGAUGCGAAAGCGUGGGGAGCAAACAGGAUUAGAUACCCUGGUAGUCCACGCCGUAAACGAUGUCUACUUGGAGGUUGUGGCCUUGAGCCGUGGCUUUCGGAGCUAACGCGUUAAGUAGACCGCCUGGGGAGUACGGUCGCAAGAUUAAAACUCAAAUGAAUUGACGGGGGCCCGCACAAGCGGUGGAGCAUGUGGUUUAAUUCGAUGCAACGCGAAGAACCUUACCUACUCUUGACAUCCAGAGAACUUAGCAGAGAUGCUUUGGUGCCUUCGGGAACUCUGAGACAGGUGCUGCAUGGCUGUCGUCAGCUCGUGUUGUGAAAUGUUGGGUUAAGUCCCGCAACGAGCGCAACCCUUAUCCUUGUUUGCCAGCACUUCGGGUGGGAACUCCAGGGAGACUGCCGGUGAUAAACCGGAGGAAGGUGGGGACGACGUCAAGUCAUCAUGGCCCUUACGAGUAGGGCUACACACGUGCUACAAUGGCGCAUACAGAGGGCGGCCAACUUGCGAAAGUGAGCGAAUCCCAAAAAGUGCGUCGUAGUCCGGAUUGGAGUCUGCAACUCGACUCCAUGAAGUCGGAAUCGCUAGUAAUCGUGGAUCAGAAUGCCACGGUGAAUACGUUCCCGGGCCUUGUACACACCGCCCGUCACACCAUGGGAGUGGGCUGCAAAAGAAGUGCGUAGCUCACCUUCGGUCACCGCUCCCGCGUUACGGCUUACUCGA